AAAUGAAAGAACAGCCAUAAAUCACGUUAUACACGACAGACCAAUAAGGCCUCGAGACCAGGGGUGGGCAAGCUUUUCUGCAAAGGACCAGCUGAGCAAGUCACAAGAAAGGAAGAGACUGACGAACCAGCUCUCCUAUACCAAGUUCCUGUGACAUCUUGAGUGUCUACUGCCCGAAAGCGAAGACUUGUUAAGGGCGAAAAGGACAACCAUGGGUGAAGGAAGCGGACCCCAGGGUCGGUGUUAGAACCAACAGAGGAAAGAACAUUAAAUCAGAAUCGAGAGGUGGCCUGUGGGUCGAGGUUGCUCACGAACGCAGACUUUCACCCUGCUUUCUCCAGUCAGAAGUUUCUUUUGAUUUUGCUAUGCUUGAACGUGGUUGCAUGGGCACUUAGGGUUGCUGAUGUCAGCAAGGCCACGU
Molecule: long non-coding RNA, 421 nt
Filed under: Delphinapterus leucas (beluga whale)
Lineage: Eukaryota; Metazoa; Chordata; Mammalia; Artiodactyla; Monodontidae
Description: lncRNA (ENSDLEG00000007304.1)
Source: RNAcentral